GACGAACGCUGGCGGCGUGCUUAACACAUGCAAGUCGAACGGAAAGGUCCUGCUUUUGUGGGGUUCUCGAGUGGCGAACGGGUGAGUAACACGUGAGUAACCUGCCCUUGACUUUGGGAUAACUUCAGGAAAAUGGGGCUAAUACCGGAUAGGAGCUCCUGCUGCAUGGUGGGGGUUGGAAAGAUUCGGCGGUUGGGGAUGGACUCGCGGGUUAUCAGCUCGUUUGUGGGGUAGUGGCUUUCAAAGGCUCUGACGGGUAGCCGGCCUGAGAGGGUGAACGGCCACAUUGGGACUGAGAUACGGCCCAGACUCCAACGGGAGGCAGCAGUGGAGAGUAUUGCACAAUGGGCGGAAGCCUGAUGCAGCAACGCCGCGUGCGGGAUGACGGCCUUCGGGUUGUAAACCGCUUUCGCCUGUGACGAAGCGUGAGUGACGGUAAUGGGUAAAGAAGCACCGGCUAACUACGUG
This 468-nucleotide ribosomal RNA is filed under the name uncultured bacterium. Its description in RNAcentral is "partial 16S ribosomal RNA". It matches the Rfam family "Bacterial small subunit ribosomal RNA", at positions 28 to 507 of the family's 1533-position model. The record is from RNAcentral.